This 339-nucleotide long non-coding RNA is filed under the name Amborella trichopoda. Its description in RNAcentral is "long non-coding RNA (ATRI_LNC003590)". Lineage: Eukaryota; Viridiplantae; Streptophyta; Magnoliopsida; Amborellales; Amborellaceae. The record is from RNAcentral.
UAAUGUUGAAAAACCUUUUGAUCGAUCAUCUCGACAUCGAUAUGUAUAACCAUGAAAAAUAAAAAGAUUUUAAGUCUCAAAAAUAGUACAUUUUACAACAUAUUAUCUACACCGUCCAUUUUCAAUAUUUUCAAAUGUUUAUAGAUCUACUUGAUUUUAACCAUUUUUUAAAUUUUAAAUUAUAUAAUUAGCUAUAAAAAUAGAUUUUGAGAUAAUCCUAAUGACAUUUUACAUCAAAAUUAUAUACCAUGAUAAAAUCGGAAGGUGCACGUUACCUCUACAGCUAUGGAUGCAACCGCAUGCCAAGUGCACCCUAUUGGAAAAGAUCUAAUAUUCAAG